Molecule: long non-coding RNA, 323 nt
Filed under: Sorghum bicolor (sorghum)
Lineage: Eukaryota; Viridiplantae; Streptophyta; Magnoliopsida; Poales; Poaceae
Description: long non-coding RNA (SBIC_LNC003652)
Source: RNAcentral
UCCCAGUUGAGGCAACAUAGAAGGUUCUUUUCCCAGUUGAGGCAACAUAGAAGGUUCUUUUCCCUGUUGAGGCAACAUAGAAGGUUCUUUUCCCUGUUGAGGCAACACAGAAGGUUCUUUUCCCUGUUGAGGCAACACAGAAGGUCCUUUUCCCUGUUGAGGCAACACAGAAGGUUCUUUUCCCUGUUGAGGCAACACAGAAGGUUCUUUUCCCUGUUGAGGCAACACAGUCAUCUCCUGAAAUCCACAUGGCAUUGCCACCAAGGAUGGUUGACCAUCAAACAGUUCAGCUGGACUCGGACCUUGAUACCUUACAUCUGCAA